Mya arenaria is the source of this 1140-nucleotide long non-coding RNA. RefSeq lists it as uncharacterized. The transcript has 4 exons. The record is from RefSeq and is a predicted model, not a curated record. NCBI's taxonomy places the organism in Eukaryota, Metazoa, Mollusca, Bivalvia, Myida, Myidae.
UAUUUAAAAACUUCACGAGAGCCCAAUGUUUAAACCUAUAAUUUCGUGAAUAUCCUUUUUUCCCAAAAACAUCCAGCUAUUUAUUGAUUUCAAUAAAACAAACUUGUGACUUAAAGUUCCGAUUUUAUUUCCAUAACAUCUUCGACACAAAAACCAUAUGAAAUUCCUAAUGAAAGUGAAGAUGCGUCAUUGACCAACAGUAACGGUAUACCAAUAGUGUGGAUAGUCAUUGGGUUGAGCGUUAUUAUUGCGGUUGUCAUUAUUUCAACGGUCAUCGUAUUGGUCAGAAAACGAUUUUUAAAGAAGAAUCAGCACGUAAAUACAAGUGAACCUCAGCCUGUCCAACAUGGGUUCAGAAAGCAACCUAGUUUAUGCAGAUAUAGACAUCGAACAUUUGGAGACAGCCAGCAAACCAUCUGCGAGACAGAAGCCGCCAAGUCCGACAAAAUUUGCUGGCGUUGAUUUUAUCAGAACAGAACGUGGAUCAAACAGUGACAAUAUUAUUACCUAAUGUCAGGGAAGAUAAUAACUUUACAUACGUGCUCACAAGCUGAUGUACUCAUAUACAAAACAUUGCUUAAAUUCUUAAUUGAUUUAACUCAUAAAUCAAUCUGAGAAAUGACAUUUACCAAAUGGUUUACAUUCAAUACAAAUGACUUUCCAGGGAUUUCCAGCGACAUCAGUCUCACUGAUAGCAAUCUAUGAAGAGUUUUGAGAUUUCCAAGCAAAUAAUAUCCAUGAUAAUACUAAUUUACUUUAGUUCGAUUGUGAAGUAGUUGCUUGUUUAGCUUGUUAGAAGAAUUCAGUGUUAAUUGUAUCUUAAUCAAACUUAUAAAGUAGUAAACUAUCCAUGGGAGCUCGGUUCCGUUUUAAACCAGCCAGAUCCGCCUUUUCACUACUUGAUUAUGACUCUUGAAAUGAUCAAAAUUGCUUUUUGUUGUCAAAUGAAAAAAAACAGUCUAAGGGAGACAACGUGUAUUCAGUGAGCGUAGUUUUUUCACUCACUUGACUUUGUUAAAGUGGUGAAACUUACAGUUUAAGAUAGACAACCUGUACUGAAAAGAUAGCGGUGGGUUUUCUCCCUUACCUUUGUUAAAGAGUAUUGAAUGAAUUUAGCUUUAUUGGCCAAAUGCCAGAAGA